RNAcentral lists this transfer RNA (77 nucleotides) under Proteus mirabilis. Its description in RNAcentral is "tRNA-Ile". It matches the Rfam family "tRNA". From Rfam's summary of the family: Transfer RNA (tRNA) molecules are approximately 80 nucleotides in length. RNAcentral also lists the same sequence under 5 other names. The record is from RNAcentral. Lineage: Bacteria; Pseudomonadati; Pseudomonadota; Gammaproteobacteria; Enterobacterales; Morganellaceae.
GCCCCUUUAGCUCAGAAGAGUAGAGCACCCGACUCAUAAUCGGUAGGUCGCUGGUUCGAUCCCAGCAAGGGGCACCA